GACGAACGCUGGCGGCGUGCUUAACACAUGCAAGUCGAACGAUGAUGCCAGCUUGCUGGUGGAUUAGUGGCGAACGGGUGAGUAACACGUGAGCAACCUGCCCCUGACUUCGGGAUAACCGCGGGAAACCGUGGCUAAUACCGGAUAUGACGCGCUAUCGCAUGGUGGUGUGUGGAAAGAUUUAUCGGUUGGGGAUGGGCUCGCGGCCUAUCAGCUUGUUGGUGGGGUGAUGGCCUACCAAGGCGACGACGGGUAGCCGGCCUGAGAGGGUGACCGGCCACACUGGGACUGAGACACGGACCAGACUCCUACGGGAGGCAGCAGUGGGGAAUAUUGCACAAUGGGCGCAAGCCUGAUGCAGCGACGCCGCGUGCGGGAUGACGGCCGUCGGGUUGUAAACCUCUUUCAGUAGGGAAGAAGGCCUUCGGGUUGACGGUACCUGCAGAAGAAGCGCCGGCUAACUACGUG
RNAcentral lists this ribosomal RNA (468 nucleotides) under uncultured bacterium. Its description in RNAcentral is "partial 16S ribosomal RNA". It matches the Rfam family "Bacterial small subunit ribosomal RNA", at positions 28 to 507 of the family's 1533-position model. The record is from RNAcentral.